GGUUAAGUGACUAAGCGUACACGGUGGAUGCCUGGGCAGUCAGAGGCGAUGAAGGACGUACUAACUUGCGAUAAGCGCAGAUAAGGCAGUAAGAGCCGUUUGAGUCUGCGAUUUCCGAAUGGGGAAACCCAACUGCAUAAGCAGUUACUGUUAACUGAAUACAUAGGUUAACAGAGCAAACCGGGGGAACUGAAACAUCUAAGUACCCCGAGGAGAAGAAAUCAACCGAGAUUCCGGUAGUAGCGGCGAGCGAACCUGGAUUAGCCCUUAAGCACUCGGUGAAGUAGGUGAACAAGCUGGAAAGCUUGGCGAUACAGGGUGAUAGCCCCGUAACCGACGCUUCAUCGAGCGUGAAAUCGAGUAGGGCGGGACACGUGAUAUCCUGUCUGAAUAUGGGGGGACCAUCCUCCAAGGCUAAAUACUCCUGACUGACCGAUAGUGAACCAGUACCGUGAGGGAAAGGCGAAAAGAACCCCUGUGAGGGGAGUGAAAUAGAACCUGAAACCGUGUACGUACAAGCAGUAGGAGCACCUUCGUGGUGUGACUGCGUACCUUUUGUAUAAUGGGUCAGCGACUUAUAUUCAGUGGCAAGGUUAACCGUAUAGGGGAGCCGUAGCGAAAGCGAGUCUUAACUGGGCGCUCAGUCUCUGGAUAUAGACCCGAAACCGGGUGAUCUAGCCAUGGGCAGGUUGAAGGUUGAGUAACAUCAACUGGAGGACCGAACCGACUAAUGUUGAAAAAUUAGCGGAUGACUUGUGGCUAGGGGUGAAAGGCCAAUCAAACUCGGAGAUAGCUGGUUCUCCCCGAAAGCUAUUUAGGUAGCGCCUCGGACGAAUACUACUGGGGGUAGAGCACUGUUAAGGCUAGGGGGUCAUCCCGACUUACCAACCCUUUGCAAACUCCGAAUACCAGUAAGUACUAUCCGGGAGACACACGGCGGGUGCUAACGUCCGUCGUGGAGAGGGAAACAACCCAGACCGCCAGCUAAGGUCCCAAAGUAUUGCUAAGUGGGAAACGAUGUGGGAAGGCUCAGACAGCUAGGAUGUUGGCUUAGAAGCAGCCAUCAUUUAAAGAAAGCGUAAUAGCUCACUAGUCGAGUCGGCCUGCGCGGAAGAUGUAACGGGGCUAAGCAAUACACCGAAGCUGCGGCAAUGUCUUUUAGACAUUGGGUAGGGGAGCG
RNAcentral lists this ribosomal RNA (1180 nucleotides) under Vibrio cholerae. Its description in RNAcentral is "partial 23S ribosomal RNA". It matches the Rfam family "Bacterial large subunit ribosomal RNA", at positions 1 to 1238 of the family's 2925-position model. Lineage: Bacteria; Pseudomonadati; Pseudomonadota; Gammaproteobacteria; Vibrionales; Vibrionaceae. The record is from RNAcentral.